This 253-nucleotide ribosomal RNA is filed under the name uncultured bacterium. RNAcentral describes it as "partial 16S ribosomal RNA". It matches the Rfam family "Bacterial small subunit ribosomal RNA", at positions 524 to 776 of the family's 1533-position model. The record is from RNAcentral.
UACGUAGGGACCAAGCGUUGUUCGGAUUUACUGGGCGUAAAGGGCGCGUAGGCGGCAAUUCAAGUCAGCUGUGAAAUCUCCGGGCUUAACUCGGAACGGUCAGCUGAUACUGCUUUGCUAGAGUGCAGAAGGGGCAAUCGGAAUUCUUGGUGUAGCGGUGAAAUGCGUAGAUAUCAAGAGGAACACCUGAGGUGAAGACGGGUUGCUGGGCUGACACUGACGCCGAGGCGCGAAAGCUAGGGGAGCAAACGGG